This 249-nucleotide unclassified non-coding RNA is filed under the name Hevea brasiliensis (rubber tree). Lineage: Eukaryota; Viridiplantae; Streptophyta; Magnoliopsida; Malpighiales; Euphorbiaceae. The record is from RNAcentral.
ACAUUUCCAUCCAAUGCGACCACUAUUGCUACAUCUUGUUUAGGUUUUGGGGGCAAAAAAGAUUUGUAUAGCUUGGGAAUCUGGCUGCUCUCAACGGGAAGGGCGGUCUCGGAGAUCGCUAUGCCCGAGACAUCCCUUAUUNNNNNNNNNNNUCAGCAUCAUGAACAAGAGAAACAUGAGAGAGCGCCUCAUCUCUGAGAUUUGGAUCCAAACUGAUAAAUUCCAAGGCUUGUUAUUGUUUUAACAAUG